Molecule: long non-coding RNA, 559 nt
Organism: Lutra lutra (Eurasian river otter)
Lineage: Eukaryota; Metazoa; Chordata; Mammalia; Carnivora; Mustelidae
Exons: 4
Source: RefSeq, a predicted model, not a curated record
AGCAGAUGAGCCUCUUUCCAACGUAUAAUCAGAAGGUCAGUAGUAGCCUGCUGCUACGUCACUGUGGCUGCGUCAUUCCCCUCAAUUCAUCUCAUCAUCUAGGCAUUUUAUCAUCUCAAAGCAUCACAAGAAGGAGGAACCUAAUCAAGUUGUCGCAGGAGAGUCCUCCAGGUCAUGUAAUCACAUUUGUACCUGACAAGACUUUCAGGGUCUUCUAAAGAAGGGCUGCUGGUGGAAGGGACCAGCCCAUGAACAGCCACACAGGAGUCGGCAGUCACGCCAUUUUCUAGCUGAAGAAAAUAUGGCUUCCAAGAAGAUCCAUGAUCUAGCAUCCGAGAGACCGCAGUGGGAUUCACAGGGAAGUUUGUCACCAAAGGCAGACUGGAGCUUGUGAGCCAUUCCUGGGCUGUAUGUGCAUUUCCUGAGGAGCCAUUGGAGCGGGCAUGGCCCCAGAAGCCACUGGUGACAUGUUGUGAGAACACCAUAGCUUGUGGGAAACCUGGGUGGCUCAGUCGGCUUCAGCUUGGGCCAUGAUCCCAGAGUCCUGGGAUUGAGCCCC